ACGAACGCUGGCGGCAGGCUUCACACAUGCAAGUCGAACGCCCCGCAAGGGGAGUGGCGCACGGGUGAGUAACGCGUGGAUAUCUGCCUUUUGGUUCGGAAUAACCCCGGGAAACUGGGGCUAAUACCGGAUGGUUCCUACGGGAUAAAGAUUUAUCGCCAAAAGAUGAGUCCGCGUACGAUUAGCUAGUUGGUGAGGUAAUGGCUCACCAAGGCGACGAUCGUUAGCUGGUCUGAGAGGACGAUCAGCCACACUGGGACUGAGACACGGCCCAGACUCCUACGGGAGGCAGCAGUGGGGAAUAUUGGACAAUGGGGGCAACCCUGAUCCGGCCAUGCCGCGUGAGUGAUGAAGGCCUUCGGGUUGUAAAGCUCUUUUGGCGGGGACGAUGAUGACGGUACCCGCAGAAUAAGCCCCGGCUAACUUCGUG
RNAcentral lists this ribosomal RNA (430 nucleotides) under uncultured bacterium. Its description in RNAcentral is "partial 16S ribosomal RNA". It matches the Rfam family "Bacterial small subunit ribosomal RNA", at positions 29 to 507 of the family's 1533-position model. The record is from RNAcentral.